UGGGGAAUUUUGGACAAUGGGCGAAAGCCUGAUCCAGCAAUGCCGCGUGUGUGAAGAGGGCCUUCGGGUUGUAAAGCACUUUUGUCCGGAAAGAAAUCCUUGGCUCUAAUACAGUCGGGGGAUGACGGUACCGGAAGAAUAAGCACCGGCUAACUACGUGCCAGCAGCCGCGGUAAUACGUAGGGUGCAAGCGUUAAUCGGAAUUACUGGGCGUAAAGCGUGCGCAGGCGGUUUGCUAAGACCGAUGUGAAAUCCCCGGGCUCAACCUGGGAACUGCAUUGGUGACUGGCAGGCUAGAGUAUGGCAGAGGGGGGUAGAAUUCCACGUGUAGCAGUGAAAUGCGUAGAGAUGUGGAGGAAUACCGAUGGCAAAGGCAGCCCCCUGGGCCAAUACUGACGCUCAUGCACGAAAGCGUGGGGAGCAAACAGGAUUAGAUACCCUGGUAGUCCACGCCCUAAACGAUGUCAACUAGUUGUUGGGGAUUCAUUUCCUUAGUAACGUAGCUAACGCGUGAAGUUGACCGCCUGGGGAGUACGGUCGCAAGAUUAAAACUCAAAUGAAUUGACGGGGUCAUAGCUGUUUCCU
Molecule: ribosomal RNA, 585 nt
Filed under: uncultured bacterium
Lineage: Bacteria
Description: partial 16S ribosomal RNA
Rfam family: Bacterial small subunit ribosomal RNA
Source: RNAcentral